CCUACGGGGGGCAGCAGUGGGGAAUAUUGGACAAUGGGCGAAAGCCUGAUCCAGCCAUGCCGCGUGUGCGAAGAAGGCCUUCGGGUUGUAAAGCACUUUCAGUGGGGAAGAAAGCCUUGGGGCUAAUACCCUCGAGGAAGGACAUCACCCACAGAAGAAGCACCGGCUAACUCCGUGCCAGCAGCCGCGGUAAUACGGAGGGUGCGAGCGUUAAUCGGCAUUACUGGGCGUAAAGCGCGCGUAGGCGGUCUGAUAAGCCGGUUGUGAAAGCCCCGGGCUCAACCUGGGAACGGCAUCCGGAACUGUCAGGCUAGAGUGCAGGAGAGGAAGGUAGAAUUCCCGGUGUAGCGGUGAAAUGCGUAGAGAUCGGGAGGAAUACCAGUGGCGAAGGCGGCCUUCUGGACUGACACUGACGCUGAGGUGCGAAAGCGUGGGUAGCAAACAGGAUUAGAUACCCCUGUAGUC
RNAcentral lists this ribosomal RNA (465 nucleotides) under Vreelandella stevensii. Its description in RNAcentral is "partial 16S ribosomal RNA". It matches the Rfam family "Bacterial small subunit ribosomal RNA", at positions 338 to 795 of the family's 1533-position model. The record is from RNAcentral. Lineage: Bacteria; Pseudomonadati; Pseudomonadota; Gammaproteobacteria; Oceanospirillales; Halomonadaceae.